ACCUAUAACCUGUUAUUAUUUAUAAUUUGUUCUUUUGUGGUAAUGCUGUGUUAUACAUUAGAAUGUUACAACAUACAUUACAAAAAGGAGAUAGAAAUGAAGAUAUAAAUUGGUGUGCAUUGAAUAAAAAAUAGGUUAAAAUAUGUAUAGGAAUUUUUAUUAAGAUAAAGAUGAAAUUAAUAAAAGACAGAUGAAAUAAAGAAAAUGAGCAGAAUGAAUAAAAUAUAAAUAUCAAUAUUAUAAAUAUCAAAAAAACUCUUUUUAAGCUUUUUUACUAUGACAUGUUUACUAUCAACUCCUCACAAAAAGGAGUUUCUAAUUAGAACAGAGUUAAUACUACCUGUGAAAAUUGGUAUACUUUAUCUAUUUUAGAGCAGAGAAAUUCUACCAAGGUCAAUUAAGAUAAUUUCCCCUUCUUAAGCUCUAACAUUGUUAUUUGUGUCAUUUGUACUGUAGUUCCCAGUAAUUAAAACAGCAGGUUACAGAUGGGUUAUUUCAGCAUGGGCACACUUGUCUUCUUGCCCUCCAGUGAGAUGGACAUUGUCUAACGUAGGCGCUGCCCAUUGUCCCCAGGCAAGACUCCCUCCAAUUGUCCUUGGACAAGAAAAUUAGCCUAAAUAGAUCUCUCUUAUUUGUCUCAUAUGUCUUUCAAAUAAACUAUAUUAGUAACUGCCAGCUGAGUUGCUCCAAACAGGAAAAACAAUUCAGUAAUCUUAGGCUUUUGAUGUCAACCUGACAUAAAGUUAAAAAGAAAAAGAUUCUGUUAUUUAAGAAAAGAGUUUCUUUGAAAUGCAUAUUUGCCUGUAAACUUUUAUUUUUAGGUUGACGAAGAAAUCACAUUCCACUGAAAAUUCUCUAGUUACUGUACUCCAUAGCAAUAUCUACCUAAAGAAUGGUAGUUAGGAAAAAUGUAGGGAAGAAAGAGGAAAGACGAGAAAGUUUCAACACAAGGUGCACUGUUUUUGGAAUGGGAAGGCAGGGUAUUACUUAUUUACUUAAGGUUGUGCAAAAUUUGCAGAAAGAUCUUAAUACUUAUUAUAUAUGUCCCUUAGAUAAGCCAAUGUUUUGCUCCUUUCCAUAAGCAGGAAACCAUUUCCUUCCUUUUCCCCCUAUGUCAGUGAGUAGAAAGUCCAAUAGGACUUUCUAAUGCAUGAUGGAAAAUUCUGUUUUAAGGCUGCACCCAGGGCAUAUGGAAGUUCCCAGGCUAGGGGUCUAAUCAGAGCUGCAGCUGCCAGCCUACACCAGAGCCACAGCAAUGCGGGAUCCCAGCUGCGUCUGUGACCUACACCACAGCUCAUGGCAAUGCAGGAUUCUUAACCCACUGAGUGAGGUCAGAGAUCAAACCCACAUUCUCAUGGAUACUAGUCGGUUUGUUAUCUGCUAAGUCACAACUGGAGCUCCCUAGCUGCCUUGGUUUUAGAUGUAAAUUUCUUUCGUAACUGAUGGUCCUUCACGUAGCUUCUACUCUCCUGUUGACCUGUACUGCUUUGCCACUUCCCCCCCUCACCAUCUGUCAAAAUCCUCCCCAUCCUUUCAGACCGUCUUCAAGCCCCAUCACAUUAAUGAAGACUGUUUUGAUCACACAGCCUUACAGGCUCUCUCCUUCCUCUGCUGUCCUAGCAUUUAUUACCAACUCCACUCAUAGGCUUUCUCUCAGACUGUCUUGUAUUUCCCUUACCUUUAGUAAAUGUCUUAUUUGUCCUAUUGAAUGAUGAGCUUUUAGGCCAGUGACUGGGUUUAAUGCUUUCAUGCCUUUCCUUAUGGUACCUUGAAUAUACCGGUUACUUAAAAAUGACUGAAAAGACAGUCUCAUACAAGAUAUAGUAUCUUGGAUAGUCACCUUUUAAUAUUAAGAUCGCAAUACAUGUUUCUGUUCAACAAUAAUUCCAAUUAAAAAAGAAAUCAUUUGCACAUAUGGAACUAGAGGAAUAAUCUUUUCCAAAUCAUGAUUGAGUGUACAUGAAUUAAAUACUCUAAAGAAGAUAGUUUUAUGCAAUGUCAAACCUAAGAGCAAUUCUGUAUUUGUCUAUGAUUUUUAUGGAAACAUGCUGAGGCUUAUUAGGCUGAAACCCCUGUAUUUAAUUUUUCAAAAUAUAUAGGAAUAUAUUUCUCCUUUGAAACCCAGUUGUGAGAAAACUCCUGUUUGCAUCUAGAAAAGAUGGAGAAAUAUCCAGGUCAAUAUACAUGUGUCUCACAGUCAGAGGAUGAAAAUCAAUGUAGUAAUAAGUACCCGGAUGUUGUAUGAUAAUGUUUUGAGUUUUAAAAAAGGGAAAGUAGUAGAACAUUUAGCUCUAAAUUUAUCAAUGUUUUUAAAUUUCAGUUUCUUCAGUUAUUUUUUUAAGAACUCAAAUUAGGCCUCAUCUACAGUGUUAUUAAUUUAGAGUGAAGCCUAAUACAGCAUUUUGGAAAGCACAUUAUGCAGGCAUCAUUAUGAAAUAAAAGCAAUUAGUAUAGUGGAGAGUCCACGCCUCUGCUGGGUAUUUAGAUAACUAACUCCAUGCCUAUCAAGCAACUGCGGCCCAGGAAGCAGGUAUAGUGUUUGCCCAAGGCCAUGCAACUGAGAAACCAUGGAGCUGGGCUAAAAAGGUAGGUGCAUCUGAUUUCCAAGCAAUGCCUUUUCUGUCUUGUGUUACCUUUUACAAGAAUGAGUUAUCAGCAUUUAGAAAUCUUGCUUGAGGAGUUCCCAUUGUGGUGCAGUAGAAAUCAAUCCAACUGGUAUCCAUAAGGAUGAGGGUUCGAUCCCUGGCCUCACCCAGUGGGUCAAGGAUCCUGCACUGCCACGGGCUGUGGUGUAGGUCACAGUUGCGGCUGGGAUCUGGCAUCACUGUGCGUGUGGCGUAGGCUGGCAGCUGUAGCUCCGAUUCAACCCCUAGCCUGGGAACAUCCAUAUGCUGCAGGAGUAGCCCUAAAAAGCCAAAAAAAGAAAGAAAAAUAAAUCUUCCUUAAAAAUCUGCCCUAAACAGACCUUUAGAGGAGAUAAAUUUAUAACUGGACUGUGUAUUCUCCACAUAUUCAUAAGUAGACAAAAAGGAAAUUUGUAAAUACACUUCAAAUUACCUUCAAAAAACUUUCUAGACUAUUACAUUUAGAAUGGAAAAGCAAUGAGGUCCUACUGUGUAGCACAGGGAACUAUAUCCAAUCUCCCGGGGUAGACCAUGAUGGGAGAAAAUAUAAGAAACACAUACAUAUAUAUGUAUGUAUGUAUGAUUGGGCCACUUUGCUGUACAGCAGAAAUUAGAACAACAUUGUAAUUCAACCAUAAUAAAAAAUUUAAAAAAUCUUUCUACAUGCAGCCUUUGGAAAAAGCAGGGUCUACCAUUUAACAAAAAUCAUUAACCUUUGAAAAGAGUAUGGCAUUUCUAAAUCAUAUUCAGUGUGUUCUCCAUCUGACCUCUGAAUCCUUGCCUGUUGUAUUUUCGCUUAACUUGCUUUUAUCCUUUUUAGAAAGAACAAUUUCCUUCUAAUGGAUUUUCUUGUAGGGUUGAAACUCAGUUCAAUAGGAAUCAGACUCUCAGAACUGCAAGAGACCUUAAGGCAAAAUUGAACCUCAACCAUCAUUUUACUGAGGAGUAGAAAGCUGACAGUCAGUGAAGUGAAAUGAUUUAUCUAGUCUACUCUCAAGUCAGUGCAAAUCUCUGACACUCUGCAUCUUAAUGAGACACUCAAGAGAUCAAGCAAUCAUGAAGUGGAUUGACACUUCAUUUUUUGGUAUUUGUUGACCAGAUUGACUUAGAGCCAUCAUUACUAAUUCAUUGUUUGAAAUGCUAUUUUUAAUAUAAACGCCAUGGAAAAUUGAAAGAUGGCAUAUCAUAUAGGAGAGUAGAUAUUAUUAUACUUCAAUAUCAGCUUUAGGCUGCCUUUGAGCCUCACCUUUCAUCCACUUUCCCCUGGUUUAUUGUAAAAUUUAUCAUACACUUCAUGCCUCUACAGUUUAGCCCCUUGUGCUGCUGUAUCUGGAAAUCCCUUCUAUGUGUUGACUAUCUAGAAAAAUUCCACUUAUUCUCCCUUUGCACAUCAGUCUUACCCAUACCUUCCCUUGACCUUGGCAGAAUUAAUUUUCCACUUGUCUGUGCUAUCAUAUUAAUUUUUGCCUUUAUUAUAGUGUUUAUACUUUUUUAAUUACUAUUAUUUCUUCACUUAUCAUUCCUGCUCCAGGGCUGGAUUUUGUUCUAAUCACCUAAAGAUCCCACAUGACAACAUAAUGCUAUAUGCAUAGUGGGGGCUGCAAAUGCAUUCCUCUUGAAUGAAUUACUUGUGCAGCAUGGUCUUUCAAAGACAAUGCCCUGAAAGAAAAAAUAAAGUCUGAAAAUUAGGGUUAUAAGUGGGAUCACAUGAUCUGAUAAUAUCACAAAAUUUGCUGUCAUUCUUACAAGGUGAAUUUUGCCUAGUCACAAGAUUUGAAACUAAUGCUUUAUUUUCUGUGGUCUGUGUUUUAGGUUCUUUUUUUGGUAAUAGAGAUUUAGUAGUAUCCCCAGUUUCUUGCCUGGUUGUCAUUUUGCUAAUGACAUUAAUUUAGCCGUCUGUUGACUCAAAAAUAAGCUUCUGAUUGCUCCUAAUUUGAUAUAAGAAAUUAAGUCGAUGGUAAGCUUAAGUUAUAGGCCUUUACAUCAUUUCAAUUUUGGUAGAUCUGAGGUUUAAUAUAGUACCACACACAUACAUAACUCAGAUCUACUAUGAAUAAAUCAUAACUGCUCAUAUUUGUCGAAUAAAUUCACAUACAAAUGAUGUUCUGAAAACUAAACUUCAGCUGUAGGAUAUUAAUUUGAUAGAUUAUAUUUGUUUAUCAGUGCAAUUGCAAUCAUCAAUAUACCCUCCCAAUCUUAAGCAUGACUGAGAUGACACUGGUAUCUUCUUGUCCAUAUUUAGAGUUACAUAAUGCACAGCUGUUGGUGAUUAAUCACAGUUUGUAAUGGCUAGUGAGUAUAUUCUGUACUCAGAAUAGCAAAAAUGCAAUUUUUUUUGUGUGUGUGUGAUCCGAAUAAAGACAUUUUAAACAAAU
RNAcentral lists this long non-coding RNA (4999 nucleotides) under Sus scrofa (pig). Its description in RNAcentral is "lncRNA (ENSSSCG00060038291.1)". Lineage: Eukaryota; Metazoa; Chordata; Mammalia; Artiodactyla; Suidae. The record is from RNAcentral.